Molecule: long non-coding RNA, 1292 nt
Organism: Siniperca chuatsi (mandarin fish)
Lineage: Eukaryota; Metazoa; Chordata; Actinopteri; Centrarchiformes; Sinipercidae
Exons: 2
Source: RefSeq, a predicted model, not a curated record
AGGUCAUGAAGAUGCUGAUCUCAUUCAGAUGGAGAAACCAGCAAAAGAGAACGUGCCAGAGGAUGUGGACUGAACUCACAGGGAGGAAGACUUGGCCAGCAGCAGCUCCAUGCACACGAGAUGGCAAAAGUCUCGAGGGUGAUCAGUUUCAACCCAGUCAUCAGAAGCAGGAUUACAAUACUUCUGCAGAUACUAAACCACAGGGAACAAUUUGAGAAAGUCAAGGAAGCAACUUUUCAUCAUGGCCCUGCAGUAUUUCAGUAGCCUGGGAACCAGACGAAUCUGCAAGCUCAUGUUUUAUUUGCUCUGGUGGAUGCAUUUGCAUUUGUGAAUUGGUCUGGUGAUGUCAGGCUAAUAUUUCAGAAUAGGGCAGAGAAAUUUGUGGGAUCAAGGUUUGACGGAAAAACAAAGUUCUCUUACCAAUGAUCUGUGGCACUCUUGCCUCCUAAUCAAACUGUAGCAAGAGAAUAGUGUAUUUACUCACCAUCAGUAGCUUUGCCUGCAUAUUACUGUCAUCACAACAUAAUGUAAUGACACUCAGAAGGAGUGUCAUGACCCAGAAUCUCUCCGCUUUGUCACUGCUGGCUACUGCAUCCCACCUGAUGACGCUGAUGGACUUUAGUGACUUGAUAGAUCUCUUUGCACACAAAAGGUCAAUGAAGAAACUCUAAGGGUAAUACCUGUAUUCCAUUACUGUAACUCUGUGCAGUGUGACACAGUUUGGGGAUUGUACAUUUGUUCAUAUAGUCGUAGUGUUUUCUCUUUGGCCUGUGUGCCCAGCUUGUGAUGCUUAUUAUGAACAUAAUUUCUGUUAUACAUUCAUCUCUUCUAUGUGAUACUGUUUUCAUAAUCUGCAGUUUACACCAUCACAUCAUCUUGUUGUAUUCUGGUGCUCAGUGAUUGACUGAGCGCCAGAAUACAACAAGAUGAUGUGACGGUGUAUGACUACUCUUUGACAGCCUGUUAUGUGUGUUGAGAUGCUGAGUGGAGUAGCACUGUUCAAGGUGCUGAAGCAGUGGUGGGCUGCAGUAGAUAUAUCUGUCAUCACAGCUCUCUGCAGCAGUUUUUCAGUAGCCCUCACAUUGGCCAUGGUGUGACUAUUGUACCAUUUGACAAACAAUGCCUUAUGUCUGUGUGUACAGUGGGAGUAGAUGGUGGCAAUUAAGAAGGGCUUAAAUCUGUGGUGUGUGGUGGCAUUACGGGAAAUGUAGGAUCCAAUGUUUUUGGAGCUCAUGGAGCAUGGAUGUAUAUGAGCUUGACUCAUACUAGGGAUUAAAACUCAGGAUAUCGAU